Molecule: non-coding RNA, 26 nt
Filed under: Bombyx mori (domestic silkworm)
Lineage: Eukaryota; Metazoa; Arthropoda; Insecta; Lepidoptera; Bombycidae
Source: RNAcentral
GACUCAACGGUCUGCAUGGUGUUGUG